AGAGGAUACAGAAGGAUGCUAGGCCUGCACAGCGCUGGACCAGACUGUAGAGCCAAUGCUCAUACAGACACCAACUUAUGAGCCAUAAAGCUAAUGUUCAGUAAUUAGGCCUGAGAAUAUUUUGUGCAUUAUCUUAGAACAAAUAAACGGAUCCAUCAGUCAUUCAGUGUUUACAUGGAGAACUUAAACCCUAAAAUAAGGAUGCUGAUAUGCUAAAUGGGUGUGGCUGAUGAAAGAUGAUGUUGAGACUGUCAAUCACACUACUGCAAGAGCUGCGUGUACUGACUGUUAACCGGGUUCUUAGCCAUCAGACAAUUAUUAAAAUACACAGAGCAAUUUGAAAGUCGUGCGAUUUUUUUUACUGAGAUGAAAUACACUUCGAGAUGAAAGGCCCCCAUCAGCCAUCCAUCAGCCCUGGUUAACAGGCCACCGCUGCAUGGUGCAUGAUGCAGUGCAGACUUGUGCCUGCAUCCCGUCCUCUAACCAGAGGUGUUUCGGUCAUGAAGCAAUGGACGGGAGGAAGGAGAGGGAGGACGGCAGGAGUUGGCGCAAAAGAACAGAGGAAAUUCCAUUGGAGUAAUAUGGCAUGACCACGCCCACUAUCCCGCAGUGGAACAGAGACAACUGUCAGUGGUGAGCCAGGAUGCAAGCUGUGCGUGUGAAGUGCAGAGAACAACAGAAGUACAUCAGUUUUGAGGGCCAACUGACCUACAGAUCAUUUUUGGAAUGCGUUGCCAAGAAGUUCAACAUCCUGAACAUAUGACUUCUCUAAGAUACUUGAUCCAAUUGUGAAGAAUAUGAAAAUCCUGGAGGGGAUGGAAUUACAAUUGCCCUGCAUGAUGACCCAGUACAUGGAACUAUUGUCCAAGUUACUACUGACAACUUUGGUCUUCACUGUCUGUUUGGUUUUCUAGAGUCAUUUAGUGCCAGAUAUUGUUGCAACUUUUGUCUUGCUGAGAAAGAGGACUUUCAGAAAGAGUUUACAGAGGAUUCACCCAAGAUAAUCAUGCGAACUCAAGCACUUCAUACUGAACAUUGCCAAAAAAUGGAGGCAAAUCCCAGACUGCCUUAUGUGAUGGGUGUUAAACAGUCUUGGAUUCUAAACUCAUUGCAGUACUUCAAUACAUGUGAAAAUUUCUCUGUUGAUAUUAUGCACGAUAUCUUGGAGGGAGUCGCACAAUAUGAAAUGAAACUGAUUAUGUUACAUGCAAUAGAUCAGUAUACAACAUCAAAGGAAGUGGACAUGAGAAUUAAGAGCUUAAACUGUGGCUAAAUGGAACAAAACGACAAACCACCUACAGUGAAGUUGGGAGAGGACUCAAAUGACUUGGAGUUAAAUGCCAUCCAGUCCUGGUGUUUACAUCGGCAUCUACCACUCAUCUUUGGAGACUUAGUUUGUCCAAACGAUCAGCACUGGUAUUUGCUACUGCUGUUGUUUCAAAUAGUGAAUAUUGUAUUUUCAGCAGUGUUAUAUAAAAGGUAUCUCCAUUUUCUUGAAACACCUGAUCGCCAAACGCCACAGGUUAUCCAAGGGUUUAUUUCCACACAAGAAGCUGCUACCAAAGCAUCAUUUCGUGAUGCAUUAUCCUACAUGUAUACUUAAAACACGACCACUUUUGCAUAGCUGGUGCAUACGCAAUGAAGCAAAACACAGCUUCUUUAAAAAAAACAAUUGAAAAGUUUCAAAAA
This is a long non-coding RNA of Oreochromis niloticus (Nile tilapia), 1689 nucleotides long. RefSeq lists it as uncharacterized. The record is from RefSeq and is a predicted model, not a curated record. Lineage: Eukaryota; Metazoa; Chordata; Actinopteri; Cichliformes; Cichlidae. The transcript is spliced from 4 exons.